GGUUCCGUAGUGUAGUGUGGUUAUCACGUUCGCUUCACACGCGAGCGUCUCCUGGUUCGAUCCCGACGGAACCG
This 74-nucleotide transfer RNA is filed under the name Trichonephila inaurata madagascariensis. RNAcentral describes it as "tRNA-Val". The record is from RNAcentral. Lineage: Eukaryota; Metazoa; Arthropoda; Arachnida; Araneae; Nephilidae.